RNAcentral lists this ribosomal RNA (428 nucleotides) under Actinomycetes bacterium. RNAcentral describes it as "Actinobacteria bacterium partial 16S ribosomal RNA". It matches the Rfam family "Bacterial small subunit ribosomal RNA", at positions 355 to 776 of the family's 1533-position model. The record is from RNAcentral. Lineage: Bacteria; Bacillati; Actinomycetota; Actinomycetes.
UAGGGAAUCUUCCGCAAUGGGCGAAAGCCUGACGGAGCAACGCCGCGUGAGUGAUGAAGGUCUUCGGAUCGUAAAACUCUGUUAUUAGGGAAGAACAAAUGUGUAAGUAACUAUGCACGUCUUGACGGUACCUAAUCAGAAAGCCACGGCUAACUACGUGCCAGCAGCCGCGGUAAUACGUAGGUGGCAAGCGUUAUCCGGAAUUAUUGGGCGUAAAGCGCGCGUAGGCGGUUUUUUAAGUCUGAUGUGAAAGCCCACGGCUCAACCGUGGAGGGUCAUUGGAAACUGGAAAACUUGAGUGCAGAAGAGGAAGUGGAAUUCCAUGUGUAGCGGUGAAAUGCGCAGAGAUAUGGAGGAACACCAGUGGCGAAGGCGACUUUCUGGUCUGUAACUGACGCUGAUGUGCGAAAGCGUGGGGAUCAAACAGG